Molecule: RNA transcript, 2872 nt
Organism: Zingiber officinale
Lineage: Eukaryota; Viridiplantae; Streptophyta; Magnoliopsida; Zingiberales; Zingiberaceae
Gene name: RNA-binding protein P-like
Exons: 3
Source: RefSeq, a predicted model, not a curated record
CUCCGUCGCGAUAUUAAUCAUUUCCCGAACCCAAUCUCAUUGUGUAAACCCUAACCCUAGCGCUCUCGCUUUCGUGCUCUCCUUCGCCAUGGCCAACAAAAAGCGAAAGCUUACCUCGCCCGCUGUCGCCGAAGCACCCGCCGAAGCACCUGCCGAAGAGCCUAAAGAGGGUAAGUCUCAAGAAGAGGAGAAUCAGCCCCCUACCGAGGCCAGCUCUGACCCUCCGAUCCAUGAGAAUUUCCAUCCCGAUGCCCCCUCCACCGACCUUGGAGAAGCAGCUGCCGAGGCCGAAAACGGAGUCGACGAGGACGAGGACGAGAACGACAGAGACCCGAAUACGAUCCAGCAACUCUUAGAGCCUUUCACCAAAGACCACCUCAUCGAGCUACUCCGCGAUGCGGCCGUGAAGCAUCCUGACGUGCUGGCAGAGAUACAUCGCAUAGUCGACUGCGAUCCUGUCCACCGCAAGGUAUUUGUCCACGGCCUUGGUUGGGAUACCAACGCCGAGGUUCUCACUGCUGCUUUUCGCCAGUAUGGCGAGAUCGAGGACUGCAAUGCGGUCAUAGACAGGGCAACGGGCAAGUCCAAGGGUUACGGAUUCAUAUUAUUUAAGCAUCGUGCUGGUGCACGUCGCUCACUUCAGGAGCCCCAGAAGAAAAUUGGCAACAGGAUCACUUCUUGUCAGCUUGCCUCAAUUGGCCCUGUGCCACCACCUGCACCUCCUGUAUCAGAGUACACUCAAAGGAAAAUAUUUGUUAGCAACGUUGGGGCAGAGCUUGACCCCCAGAAACUGGUUCAGUUCUUUUCUAAGUAUGGGGAGAUAGAGGAGGGACCGCUAGGUCUGGAUAAGGUGUCUGGGAAGCCAAAGGGUUUUGCGUUGUUUGUUUACAAGACCGUUGAGAGUGCUAAGAAAGCAUUGGAGGAACCGCACAAGAACUUCGAGGGUCACAUACUGCAUUGCCAGAAGGCAAUCGAUGGGCCGAAGCCAAACAAGCCAGGAUUCCAUUUUCAAAGUCCCGUAGCUCACCAUAUUGGCCUGCAUCAUGUUGCUGGUGGAAUACAUGGGUCACAUAUCCCACGGAACCACAAUCCCUCUCUUUUUGGAGGGGUAGGAAGUCAUCUCUCAAGUGCUACAAGUGCUGGGCACCUCAUGGCCCCUUCAGGUGCUGGACACCUUAUGGCCCCUUCAGGUGCUGGAGUGGGGUUCAACCCGGAUGCUCAACCAGCUGCUGCAGUGGCUGCUGGGUUAAAUCCUGUAUUAGGGCAAGCUUUGACUGCGUUACUUGCGAAUCAAGGAUCUGGGUUGGGCUUGACAAACAUCUUGGGAAACUUGGGGUCUGGUGGGGUGGCUGGAACUCCUGGGGCAUUGUCAAAUAGUUCUGCACAUGGUUUGCUUGGUGGUGGCUAUGGUGGUGGUGCUGUUGGGAACUUGAAUGCUGGGAUGAUGGGAGGUCAUAACUCGCAGGCAUAUGGGCAGGGUGGCUAUGGGACUCCAUCAACUGGACAGGGAGGAGCUGGUAGGAGCCAAACAGGACUUGGGCAAAUGGGCAACCUAGGCCAUUACAUUGGUCAUUAGGUAAUCCCAGAUGAUUUCUAGGUGCAUAAAUCUGUUUUCUACUGGGCCAAGAUCCUUCUGAAGUUCUGCUUCUGGGCUGAAUGAAAAUAUCUUUUAUUUGGUUUGCCAUUGAUUUUAAAAACUGAAGUUUUCAGCACCUCUAGUGGUACUUAAAUUUACUUUAAUCCUUUUAUGUAGAAUUUUGAGCUACUGUAUUAGCUUUUAAAAGCCUAUAUAAAUGGCUUCUUGUUAUAUUGUAGAAGAACAUAUUGAACUUAAAUCUUAGACUUUUAUGAUUUAUUUAAGUGCUCUUUACUAAUUUUCUAGUCACAGGUAUAUAUAUUUUAAUUGAUAAGAAACCUAUUUUGUUUAUGAUUUUGCAACUUUACUAAGCCCUACUUAUCUUUCGAAAAUGGCUGUUGAUUGUGAAUACUGGAUUGCACUGCUUGUCCAAAAGUUGUAUUUUUAUUCAUUUAUUUAGUUUUGUAAAAUAUGGGUUUGAAAAAUUCUUCUUGUUUGAUUCCUUCUGUGCACCAUAAUAUCUUUGGAACUUAUGUAUAUUGAUGCAAUUGGACUAGUUAAAAUAAAUUACCUAAUUUUGUGUGAAAUCUCAGCACUUGUCUGAUACCAGUGCAUUAUUCUCUGCACAUAAUUUGUCUAGUGCUCUGUCCAACAUAGUAUUUAGAAAUCUGCACUCGAUAAAAAUCUGCGAGUGUGAAAUAUAAAGUGAAUGUCGGUGAUAUAGAUGAACAAUCCAGACCAGAUUGAGAUAAGAUGGAGAAUUGAAGCUAGAAAGCUAGCAGAAUUUGGGAGACGGGCACGAUGAUGAAAUCUGUAUUUAUUGGUGGUAUGGAGUUCCCAUUUUAAAUUAAUUGUUAUAGUCCUCUUUUCUUUUUUUGUUUUUGAUGGGAAUUAUAAUGGUCCUCUUAAUCAUGCCGAUGGUAGUGAUGAUGAUAUGACAGUAAUCAUUAUAUUUUGGGUUUUUUAUAGGACGCUAACUUUCCUACUAUUUGUUGAGACUGAGCUCAUGACUUUGCCUUAGUUGCUUAAGUUUACAGUAGAGAAUUCUGCCAAGACAAAAAUUUAGGCAAUCGAGUGUGUUGAAGGCAAGGAAUAUGACAAGGUAUUGCAGGAGGAUAGCUCUCGAAGAUACGUGAUGCAAUUAAGAGAAAUUGGCAGGAUAUAUUGUUGAGGACGUUUCUUCCACGGUCGAGUCAAAGAAACAUACAGUUAGCCGUGCAACUGGUAGCCUUAGUUCCUUGAACUAUAGAGUAUCGCAGGUAAGCAAAGGGUAACCGACACCAAUAGUGAGCUAAA